UCGAGCAGGAGACUCCCAUGGAGCGAAGAACCCUAACUUCAUCAUUUUCAUCAAAUUGAAAGGCUAAAUGAUGCUUAAAUCCAUGAAUAAACACGGAUUAAUGAUCACCUUCACAAGAGGAUCGUAAGUUGAUGCUUGAUAACCGACAUGGAAGCUUGGGAAAGAAGCGGGUCAAAUGGAACUUAUGUGCACGGGAAGCGUACUCGGAUGCCAGGUUGAUCGGGUCACGGAGGAUCAUCAAGGAAUAGAGAUCGAGAACCGAGUCACAACAUAGAUUGUACGGGAACGUCGAUGUAUGUAAUAUAGUAAACAGAAGCCAUGUUUUUACUUAGUAAAUGAGUCGAUUGAUAAUUUUAUGUGAAAGAGUUAUGUUACAAUGAAAUUUUAAAGUAAG
Molecule: long non-coding RNA, 394 nt
Organism: Helianthus annuus (common sunflower)
Lineage: Eukaryota; Viridiplantae; Streptophyta; Magnoliopsida; Asterales; Asteraceae
Exons: 3
Source: RefSeq, a predicted model, not a curated record